This is a non-coding RNA of Tulasnella sp. UAMH 9824, 71 nucleotides long. The record is from the annotation of a GenBank genome assembly. Lineage: Eukaryota; Fungi; Basidiomycota; Agaricomycetes; Cantharellales; Tulasnellaceae.
GGUCCUUUAGUGUAGGGGUAGCACAACAACUUUUCAUGCUGUCAGUACCAGUUCGAUUCUGGUAAGGACUA